CCAUACAGAUUUUAAGUGAUAUAGAGAAAACUAAAGCAUAGAAAUGGGCAUAAGAAAUGUUAAGAAGGUUUUUUGUUUUUUUUUUUUUAAGUAAGGUGAUCAUAAAUUCUAUUCUACCAAGUUGACAUCUGAGCACAAAUCAGAAAGACAGAAGGGAACGAACCACAAAUAAGUUAGCAGAGUUUGCUCCAGACAAGUGUUAGCAAAUGCAAAAAGUGUAAAACAGAAAUGUGCUGGAGCAACAUGAGAGAAACUUGUGUUCCUGAGUCUGAGAAGAUUAAAAGAUGGGUAUCGGUGCUGCUCGAAGUUUGAGUCUGCUUCCUUUAGAACCAGAACUGUCAGGUAGUCCUCAACAAUUUUGCUUCCACUCAUCACCAAAUGAAGGGGAAAGAAGGAACCAAUGCAGAAUGAAAGGUCGUGUAUUCACAGAGCCUAUUUGGGGAAGUAGUAAGUUUCCCCCCAAAAGGGCAAUGAAAUUUUGA
RNAcentral lists this long non-coding RNA (482 nucleotides) under Chinchilla lanigera (long-tailed chinchilla). Its description in RNAcentral is "lncRNA (ENSCLAG00000023660.1)". Lineage: Eukaryota; Metazoa; Chordata; Mammalia; Rodentia; Chinchillidae. The record is from RNAcentral.